This 17-nucleotide small RNA is filed under the name Arabidopsis thaliana (thale cress). Its description in RNAcentral is "ATSL182860". The record is from RNAcentral. Lineage: Eukaryota; Viridiplantae; Streptophyta; Magnoliopsida; Brassicales; Brassicaceae.
UUUUUUUCUUCUUCUUU